RNAcentral lists this ribosomal RNA (1512 nucleotides) under Triticum aestivum (bread wheat). Its description in RNAcentral is "partial small subunit ribosomal RNA". Lineage: Eukaryota; Viridiplantae; Streptophyta; Magnoliopsida; Poales; Poaceae. The record is from RNAcentral.
AUGAAAAUAGACAUGGUCUGCGACGACGACAUUAAGCCAUUGCAACGGCAGAAGGUAUGCGUGAUCGGGGCCGGGAUGGCCGGGUUGGCGUCAGCCCGCGAGCUGCGGCGGGAGGGCCACGACGUGACGGUGCUGGAGCAGAGCGGCGACGUGGGCGGGCAGUGGCGGUACGAUCCGAUGACUGACGGCGCAGACCCGCUCGGUGCCGCGGCGGCGCCGGUGAAGGUGCACGGCAGCAUGUAUGCGUCCCUCCGCCUGAUCAGCGCCCGGGAGACCAUGGGGUUCACCGACUUCCAGUUCGCGCCCAAGGACGGCCGCGACGUCCGCCGCUUCCCUGGUCACCGCGAGGUGUACCUCUACCUCAAGGACUUCUGCGACGCGUUCGGGCUCAUGGAGCUCGUCAGGCUCAACACCGGCGUCGUGCGUGUCGCCUUGGCGCCAGGUCCGAUUCCGACGCGGCAAUGGAUGGUGAGGUCCGUCGAUCUCGGCAAGUCCGAUGGUGCCGAGGAGGUGGAGGAGGAGUUCGAUGCCGUCGUGGUGGCCAACGGCCACUACUCGCAGCCGAGAUUGCCAAGCAUCGUAGGCAUGGAGGUGUGGAGGGGGAGGCAGGUGCACAGCCACUCGUACAGGGUGCCGGAGCCGUUCCGCGACGAGGUGGUGGUGGUGGUUGGGUGCGGCGCGAGCGGCAAGGACAUCGCCAUGGAGGUCCGCAGGGUCGCCAAGGAGGUGCACCUGGUCGCCAAGUCCAUGGAGGAGGUAACCCAGGAGCUCGCCAAGGUGCUCUCCAAGUACAGCGCCAGCCUGCACCUACAACUUCACGUGGAGCGGCUGUGCGAGGACGGGCGGGUGGUGUUCGGCGACGGCUCCAGUAUCCUCGCCGACACCAUCAUCUACUGCACAGGGUUCAAUUACUCUUUCCCGUUCCUGGAUACGGAGGGAGCGGUCACCGUCGACGACAACUGCGUGGGCCCGCUUUUCGAGCAUGUGUUCCCGCCGUCGCUGGCGCCGUCGCUCUCCUUCGUCGGUAUACCCGUAAAGGUAUUUGCGCCUUGGUUCUUUGAGGCUCAGGCGAAAUGGGUGGCGCAGGUGCUGUCCGGCAAGAGAACGCUGCCCCCGGAGGAGGAGAUGGUGCGGUCCGUGGAGGAGUACUACCGCGCCAGGGAGGCCGCCGGCGCGCCCAAGAAUUACACCCACGACGUCAGCUUGUUUGACACCACGGCACUGACUACUACACACAACCUGCACGACAAUCGGACGAUCUUCAUGGAUGAGUUCGUGAGCAAGUACUGCGACUUCCGUAGCGUGGAGAAAUGGCGUUACGAGUUGCUGGUGUCGUCGUUAGUCAACAUGUUCGACAACCUCGAGACCUUCCGCGAUGAGUACCAAGACAGCGACUCCAUCCGCAAGGGUGUGGAGGAGUGGCACUUGUCUGCACAACGGGCCCAAGCUGCUGCUGCUGGACCUGCUACUACGAAAGAACAAUCACUUGGUCUUCUCGAACAAGUAGAGUGA